GAUGAACGCUGGCGGCGUGCCUAAUACAUGCAAGUCGAGCGAACAGGUGAGGAUCUUGCUCCUCUGACGUUAGCCGCGGACGGGUGAGUAACACGUGUAUAACCUACCUAUAAGACUGGUAUCACUUCGGGAAAGCGGCGCUAAUACCGGAUAAUAUAUUGAACCGCAGGGGUGAAUAGUGAAAGACGGUGUUGCUGUCACGUAUAGAUGGAUCCGCGCCGCAUUAGGUAGUUGGUAAGGUAACGGGUUACCAAGGCAACGAGGCGUAGCCGAACUGAGAGAGUGGUCGGCCACACUGGAGCUGAGACACGGACCAGACUCCUACGGGAGGCAGCAGUAGGGAAUCGUCCGCAACGGGCGGAAGCCUGACGGAGCAACGCCGCGUGAGUGAUGAAGGUGUUCGGAUCGUAAAACUCUGUUAUGAGGGAAGAACAAAUGUGUAAGUAACUAUGCACGUAUUGACGGUACCUAAUCAGAAAGCCACGGCUAACUACGUG
Molecule: ribosomal RNA, 497 nt
Filed under: uncultured bacterium
Lineage: Bacteria
Description: partial 16S ribosomal RNA
Rfam family: Bacterial small subunit ribosomal RNA
Source: RNAcentral